Molecule: ribosomal RNA, 556 nt
Filed under: uncultured Aspergillus
Lineage: Eukaryota; Fungi; Ascomycota; Eurotiomycetes; Eurotiales; Aspergillaceae
Description: SSU rRNA
Rfam family: Eukaryotic small subunit ribosomal RNA
Source: RNAcentral
GGAAGGGGUGUAUUUAUUAGAUAAAAAACCAAUGCCCUUCGGGGCUCCUUGGUGAAUCAUAAUAACUUAACGAAUCGCAUGGCCUUGCGCCGGCGAUGGUUCAUUCAAAUUUCUGCCCUAUCAACUUUCGAUGGUAGGAUAGUGGCCUACCAUGGUGGCAACGGGUAACGGGGAAUUAGGGUUCGAUUCCGGAGAGGGAGCCUGAGGAACGGCUACCACAUCCAAGGAAGGCAGCAGGCGCGCAAAUUACCCAAUCCCGACACGGGGAGGUAGUGACAAUAAAUACUGAUACGGGGCUCUUUUGGGUCUCGUAAUUGGAAUGAGUACAAUCUAAAUCCCUUAACGAGGAACAAUUGGAGGGCAAGUCUGGUGCCAGCAGCCGCGGUAAUUCCAGCUCCAAUAGCGUAUAUUAAAGUUGUUGCAGUUAAAAAGCUCGUAGUUGAACCUUGGGUCUGGCUGGCCGGUCCGCCUCACCGCGAGUACUGGUCCGGCUGGACCUUUCCUUCUGGGGAAUCUCAUGGCCUUCACUGGCUGUGGGGGGAACCAGGACUUUUAC